GGAGGGUUCGAUUCUGGCUCAGGAUGAACGCUGGCGGCGUGCCUAAUACAUGCAAGUCGAGCGAACAGACAAGGAGCUUGCUCCUUUGACGUUAGCGGCGGACGGGUGAGUAACACGUGGGUAACCUGCCCAAGAGAUCGGGAUAACACCUGGAAACAGAUGCUAAUACCGGAUAACAACAGAUGAUGCCUAUCAACUGUUUAAAAGAUGGUUCUGCUAUCACUCUUGGAUGGACCUGCGGUGCAUUAG
RNAcentral lists this ribosomal RNA (249 nucleotides) under Ditylum brightwellii. RNAcentral describes it as "partial Bacterial small subunit ribosomal RNA". It matches the Rfam family "Bacterial small subunit ribosomal RNA", at positions 6 to 244 of the family's 1533-position model. The record is from RNAcentral. Lineage: Eukaryota; Bacillariophyta; Thalassiosirophyceae; Lithodesmiales; Lithodesmiaceae.